This 563-nucleotide ribosomal RNA is filed under the name uncultured bacterium. Its description in RNAcentral is "bacterial SSU rRNA". It matches the Rfam family "Bacterial small subunit ribosomal RNA", at positions 338 to 916 of the family's 1533-position model. The record is from RNAcentral.
CCUACGGGAGGCAGCAGUGAGGAAUAUUGGGCAAUGGGCGAACGCCUGACCCAGCAACGCCGCGUGGAGGAUGAAGGUUUUUGGAUUGUAAACUCCUUUUGUGGGGGAAGAGUGAGGACGGUACCCCAAGAAUAAGUCACGGCUAACUACGUGCCAGCAGCCGCGGUAAUACGUAGGUGACAAGCGUUAUCCGGAAUUAUUGGGCGUAAAGCGCCCGCAGGCGGCUGUUCAAGUCUGACGUGAAAUCGCUCGGCUUAACUGGGCGGGGUCGUUGGAAACUGAAUAGCUUGAGGCAAGGAGAGGGGCGUGGAAUUCCCGGUGUAGUGGUGGAAUGCGUAGAUAUCGGGAGGAACAUCAGUGGCGCAAGCGGCGCCCUGGCCUUAGCCUGACGCUCAGGGGCGAAAGCGUGGGGAGCGAACGGGAUUAGAUACCCCGGUAGUCCACGCCGUAAACGAUGAACACUAGGUGUGGGUGGGUUCAAAACCAUCCGUGCCGCAGCCAACGCGUUAAGUGUUCCGCCUGGGGAGUACGGUCGCAAGGCUAAAACUCAAAUGAAUUGACGG